This is a long non-coding RNA of Melospiza georgiana, 492 nucleotides long. RefSeq lists it as uncharacterized. The record is from RefSeq and is a predicted model, not a curated record. Lineage: Eukaryota; Metazoa; Chordata; Aves; Passeriformes; Passerellidae. The transcript is spliced from 3 exons.
UAGCUCAGUCCUUGAGAGGUCCUGCAGAUGCCACUGACAUUCUCCUGGAAGAACCCUCCAUCCUCUUCCUGGUCAGGAAAGGGACAAAACAGGGCCCUGGAAGAAUGACUGGAUGGAGGGUGAAGGUGCUGAGAGUGGAGUUGUUCUGUGUUUGAGAGAAACUGUGGAUGAACAUCCCUUAUGGAGCACUGUGGUGUCCCUGCCUGCCCUUCACACCAAAUGGGCUCGAAAGACGAGCAUGCAUCUGCCUGACAGCUUUCAGAGCGAGCCAUCCUUGCCAGCCAAAGCAGAUUCUCUGUGCCUGCUUCCAAGCUGAAACAACUGGUGGCAGAGUGGGGUGUCUCUCCAGUCCUAGCCAUGAAGAGAGGAGAUGAAACAUCCUCCUGCUCACAGCACAGGGAAGAGGCUGGAGCUGGGCUGCUGUCUCCACACCUGUAGAACUGUGGUGAAAUGGGGAUUCUUUGUGUUUCAUUGGCUUCUCUGAGGAAAACA